RNAcentral lists this ribosomal RNA (404 nucleotides) under Streptococcus thermophilus. RNAcentral describes it as "bacterial SSU rRNA". It matches the Rfam family "Bacterial small subunit ribosomal RNA", at positions 110 to 501 of the family's 1533-position model. The record is from RNAcentral. Lineage: Bacteria; Bacillati; Bacillota; Bacilli; Lactobacillales; Streptococcaceae.
GUAACGCGUAGGUAACCUGCCUUGUAGCGGGGGAUAACUAUUGGAAACGAUAGCUAAUACCGCAUAACAAUGGAUGACACAUGUCAUUUAUUUGAAAGGGGCAAUUGCUCCACUACAAGAUGGACCUGCGUUGUAUUAGCUAGUAGGUGAGGUAAUGGCUCACCUAGGCGACGAUACAUAGCCGACCUGAGAGGGUGAUCGGCCACACUGGGACUGAGACACGGCCCAGACUCCUACGGGAGGCAGCAGUAGGGAAUCUUCGGCAAUGGGGGCAACCCUGACCGAGCAACGCCGCGUGAGUUAAGAAGGUUUUCGGAUCGUAAAGCUCUGUUGUAAGUCAAGAACGGGUGUGAGAGUGGAAAGUUCACACUGUGACGGUAGCUUACCAGAAAGGGACGGCUAAC